RNAcentral lists this ribosomal RNA (484 nucleotides) under uncultured bacterium. RNAcentral's name for it is "partial 16S ribosomal RNA". It matches the Rfam family "Bacterial small subunit ribosomal RNA", at positions 29 to 507 of the family's 1533-position model. The record is from RNAcentral.
AUUGAACGCUGGCGGAAUGCUUUACACAUGCAAGUCGAGCGGCAGCGCGGCCUUCGGGCUGGCGGCGAGCGGCGAACGGGUGAGUAAUGCAUCGGAACAUGCCCAGUCGUGGGGGAUAACACUUCGAAAGAAGUGCUAAUACCGCAUACGUCCUGAGGGGGAAAGCGGGGGAUCGCAAGACCUCGCGCGAUUGGAGUGGCCGAUGUCAGAUUAGCUAGUUGGUGGGGUAAAGGCCUACCAAGGCGACGAUCUGUAGCUGGUCCGAGAGGAUGAUCAACCACACUGGGACUGAGACACGGCCCAGACUCCUACGGGAGGCAGCAGUGGGGAAUUUUGGACAAUGGGGGCAACCCUGAUCCAGCCAUUCCGCGUGAGUGAAGAAGGCCUUCGGGUUGUAAAGCUCUUUCGGCAGGAACGAAACGGUGGGCUCUAACAUAGUCCGCUAAUGACGGUACCUGGAGAAGAAGCACCGGCUAACUACGUG